RNAcentral lists this ribosomal RNA (300 nucleotides) under uncultured Thermus sp. RNAcentral describes it as "bacterial SSU rRNA". It matches the Rfam family "Bacterial small subunit ribosomal RNA", at positions 495 to 795 of the family's 1533-position model. Lineage: Bacteria; Thermotogati; Deinococcota; Deinococci; Thermales; Thermaceae. The record is from RNAcentral.
GGUUACGUGGUGACAGGAGCCGGGGUAAGACAGGUGGGGCGGGGGUUGUCCGGAAUCACGGGGCGUAAAGGGCGGGGAGGCGGCGUGGGAAGCGGCGUGUGAAAUCCCGGGGCUCAACCCCGGAACGGCACGCGGGACUGUCGGGCUAGAGAAUGGUAGAGGCGAGUGGAAUUCCUGGUGUAGCGGUGGAAUGCGUAGAGAUCAGGAAGAACACCGGUGGCGAAGGCGGCUCGCUGGGCCAUUUCUGACGCUGAGGCGCGAAAGCGUGGGGAGCAAACAGGAUUAGAUACCCCUGUAGUC